RNAcentral lists this ribosomal RNA (392 nucleotides) under Listeria monocytogenes. RNAcentral's name for it is "bacterial SSU rRNA". It matches the Rfam family "Bacterial small subunit ribosomal RNA", at positions 202 to 581 of the family's 1533-position model. Lineage: Bacteria; Bacillati; Bacillota; Bacilli; Caryophanales; Listeriaceae. The record is from RNAcentral.
GAAAGAUGGUUUCGGCUAUCGCUUACAGAUGGGCCCGCGGUGCAUUAGCUAGUUGGUAGGGUAAUGGCCUACCAAGGCAACGAUGCAUAGCCGACCUGAGAGGGUGAUCGGCCACACUGGGACUGAGACACGGCCCAGACUCCUACGGGAGGCAGCAGUAGGGAAUCUUCCGCAAUGGACGAAAGUCUGACGGAGCAACGCCGCGUGUAUGAAGAAGGUUUUCGGAUCGUAAAGUACUGUUGUUAGAGAAGAACAAGGAUAAGAGUAACUGCUUGUCCCUUGACGGUAUCUAACCAGAAAGCCACGGCUAACUACGUGCCAGCAGCCGCGGUAAUACGUAGGUGGCAAGCGUUGUCCGGAUUUAUUGGGCGUAAAGCGCGCGCAGGCGGUCU